This 488-nucleotide ribosomal RNA is filed under the name uncultured bacterium. Its description in RNAcentral is "bacterial SSU rRNA". It matches the Rfam family "Bacterial small subunit ribosomal RNA", at positions 30 to 507 of the family's 1533-position model. The record is from RNAcentral.
UGAACGCUAGCUACAGGCCUAACACAUGCAAGUCGAGGGGAAACGGCAGCUUAGCUUGCUAAGCUGGACGCCGACCGGCGCACGGGUGAGUAACGCGUAUCCAACCUGCCCCACGGUGAGGGAUAACCCGCGGAAGCGCGGCCUAAUACCUCAUGGCCUCCGAGCUUGACAUCAACCUUGGAGUAAAGAUUCAUUGCCGUGGGAUGGGGAUGCGUCUGAUUAGCUUGUUGGCGGGGUAACGGCCCACCAAGGCGACGAUCAGUAGGGGUUCUGAGAGGAAGGUCCCCCACAUUGGAACUGAGACACGGUCCAAACUCCUACGGGAGGCAGCAGUGAGGAAUAUUGGUCAAUGGACGGGAGUCUGAACCAGCCAAGUAGCGUGCAGGACGACGGCCCUAUGGGUUGUAAACUGCUUUUGUAUGUGAGCAAUAAGGUCCACGAGUGGUCCGAUGAGAGUAGCAUACGAAUAAGCAUCGGCUAACUCCGUG